Molecule: non-coding RNA, 22 nt
Filed under: Arabidopsis thaliana (thale cress)
Lineage: Eukaryota; Viridiplantae; Streptophyta; Magnoliopsida; Brassicales; Brassicaceae
Source: RNAcentral
UAUUCAGCAAAGGUGUGUGCUU